AAGGAAAUAAUUUAAUUGGUAAAAUAAUGGUCUCCAAAACUAUCUUUCGAGGUUCAAAUCCUCGUUUCCUUG
This 72-nucleotide transfer RNA is filed under the name Hemiselmis andersenii. RNAcentral's name for it is "tRNA-Trp". It matches the Rfam family "tRNA". Rfam says of the family: Transfer RNA (tRNA) molecules are approximately 80 nucleotides in length. Their secondary structure includes four short double-helical elements and three loops (D, anti-codon, and T loops). The record is from RNAcentral. Lineage: Eukaryota; Cryptophyceae; Cryptomonadales; Hemiselmidaceae.